This is a long non-coding RNA of Aphis gossypii (cotton aphid), 1422 nucleotides long. RefSeq lists it as uncharacterized. The transcript is spliced from 4 exons. NCBI's taxonomy places the organism in Eukaryota, Metazoa, Arthropoda, Insecta, Hemiptera, Aphididae. The record is from RefSeq and is a predicted model, not a curated record.
UAUAAUAUAUAUAUAUGUGUGUGUGUGUGUGUUUAUAAAUAUUAAAAUUUGCAUAAUAUGAACUAAAAGUAGAACGGAGAGUGAAGCGUCCAAUUUAUUCUUACGCACAUUUUACUGCAAAUUAGUUUUUGGAAAUAAUACAGCCAUGGCGUGAAGGUUUAAUCUUUUAGAUUUGUAGUAUAUAAUGUCUCAUAAUGUUGUUAUGUUCCUCGAGGAAGAUUUUUAUAGACCAUUUGACAGUACUAUGGUAUAGUAUUUUUCUAUUUCUUCUAUAAUAUGAGAGGAGAGUCCUAUUGACUGGAUAUAGCGUACCAACCCUAUUUUUCCAAGUUAAAUUUCGUGAAUUAAAAAAAAAGUUCUUGUACAGCUUACGUUUGUGUACCUAUCUAUAUCUAUUAAUAAUUCACCAAGUACUUUUGGAAAGCCUUUAUUUAAAUAUUUUUAGAAAUAAAUAUCUAGCAUAAAAUAUUAGUGUAAAAGUUUUUACUUGUGAUACCUAAUUAAAAUAAAUAUAAUAUAGUAGGGGGUAUUUGAUACAAUAAAAAGAAAAUGAAAUUCCGGGAGGUAAAAUACUUAUUUUGUGUUGAACAAUACUUACUAGGUAACAGCAUUGGUUACUUCACCCAAUCACUGUAAAAAUACCUAUUACAAUAAUGAAUAAUAAUAUACCAUAAUCGAAGUAGGUACCCUAUUACUAAAUUGACAAUUACCUUGCUCACAAUUCUGUGCACGUGCUACAGCGACACCCACUUUCCUACGUCAUUAGAAAAUGUUUAAUAGUAUUACACGUGUCCAGGCAAACAGUUAAUACAAAUCCAGCACGGCCAAAUAUGGUCUCGAAACACACCAGCGACCUGCCUGCCGGACCGUUUCAAAAUAGGUUUAUAGUUUAUACGCCGUGCAUAAGUGAAGUUUAAGAGCCGAUUGAUCGAGCGACUGUGAAAAUACUACCAAUGUGUCACAAGAAGUUACGAAAAAACAAUGCAUCACAAAUGAUUGGCGACUGAUCCCUGAAAUAGCUGUGAACGCUACAAAAAGAGCACUUACUAUGCAGGAAUAGUGGACUACGUAAAUGGUACCGAUGUUUAUGUAAAAUUUCUAGGGAAAUACGACAAUCGAUCAUUUUUAUACAAUUAUACGAGAGAAGAGAUUUACUUCCGCUACUACACAACAUUUCCCAUAUGGAAAAUUUAAGCAAUAAAGUCAAUACCUGCACAUAACAAUACAAAAUACAUAAGGCAGACAGUCAAUACAGAUGUAUGAGCAAAAUGUAAUAAAAUACUUAUAAUUUCAUAUUAAAUGUAUUAUUUAUUAUUAUUAUUAUUAGACUAUAGACUAUAGUAUAGACCAUAGCUAUACUUGGUCAUAUUUUACGCAUAAAAAGAUGAUAUUGGUAAAUUGAAAUAUUCAUGUAAUAUAAAU